RNAcentral lists this ribosomal RNA (301 nucleotides) under uncultured bacterium. RNAcentral's name for it is "partial 16S ribosomal RNA". It matches the Rfam family "Bacterial small subunit ribosomal RNA", at positions 509 to 807 of the family's 1533-position model. The record is from RNAcentral.
CAGCAGCCGCGGGAAUACGUAGGGUGCGAGCGUUAAUCGGAAUUACUGGGCGUAAAGCGUGCGCAGGCGGUUGUGUAAGACAGGUGUGAAAUCCCCGGGCUUAACCUGGGAACUGCGCUCGUGACUGCACAGCUAGAGUAUGGCAGAGGGGGGUGGAAUUCCACGUGUAGCAGUGAAAUGCGUAGAGAUGUGGAGGAACACCGAUGGCGAAGGCAGCCCCCUGGGCCAAUACUGACGCUCAUGCACGAAAGCGUGGGGAGCAAACAGGAUUAGAUACCCCAGUAGUCCCUGUCUCUUAUAC